AGAGAUAUUUGAGCGAGCGUGAGGGAUCGAGAGAUUUAAGCGAGGUUUUCAAUUCUUUUAUCCAUGGAAUUCAUCCAAGACUUCUAUUUCGAUUCCUAGAUCAUCGAGAGAUGGAAGAACUCGGCACAAUCCGACACCAUCUCGGACGUCCUUCGCUUUUAGAAACCGUGGUGACGAAUCCAAUGUCAAACCCAUGGCUGGAAAGUUGCAACAAAGCCUUGGUUAAGAAAGUGGUCAUGUACCAGGCAGUGAGCGAUUCCUCUCAUCCAGUGCAUGGUGUUUCUUUGUAGAAGUUAAAACGCUUCACAGACUUUCUUAUCCGUAGAAGUUCAAAAGAGGCUAUUUGAUCAAGAAGGCCAAACUCAUGCAACUCGCUAUGAUGGCCAAACAUAUGGUGUAAAAGACCCAAGGCAAACUUGAGUGGGAUCUACGCAAUGAGCCCAUGGUUUUCUUGAGUUAGACUCAAUAGAGGAUCAAGCAAGGCUACAAUCAUCUCAAGGCAGACUUGAGAAGGAUCAGGUGAAGCUGUAAGUUGCCUUGAGCAAAGGGGCACUUUUUCUACAACCAUUGUCAUCCCAAGGCAGAUGAGGUGGCCAUGCGGAAAUUUCAAAACUUAAAUCAAUUCAUGCCGUGCACCUUCAAUCUCAUUUUUUCGGAUUUGACGAAACACAGCACAACACUACGCUUGACGGAAAAUGCAGCACAACACCUUGGCUGACUCUUCCUCUUACUGAACGUGGCCCCACAAGGAAAAGCAACUUGGACGCAACCUUAGACAGAAAAGCAACUUGGACGUAUGAGCUGGUUUGACUUCAAGUGCACAUGCACAUUUUGACUUUUCAUCAUCACACCUUGCAAUAUGCUCUUCAAGUUAGAUGGAAGUAGACCACACAACCUCUCUUUACGCGUCAAGUAAAUUCACACCACCAUGGUUUAUCUUCAAACUGGAUCCCAAAGUCCACUUCGACUUUUUUUUCAAUAGAUUUAAUUCCAACCUCAUACGAAAAAGCAAUUUGAACGCAUGAGCUAGUUUGGUUUUUCUUCAAGUGCACAUGUAUAUUGUGACUUUUUGUCUCUUGCGAUAUGCUCUUCAAGUUAGAUGAAAGUAGACCCCAUGCCUCUUUUCAACCUACAUCAAGAGUAAAUUUAGCUCAUGGCAGUCUUCACUUUCAGCCCCUGCUACUCACCGAUGGACCCCACAUGCAAAUCUUCAAUUUACGGAAACUUCAUUCCAUCAAACCAACGGAAACCACCGAGUGCAUGGCUCCCUCUUCCAUUUUCUCACUGUUCUGGUAACCACAACAUUGUCUUUCUGUGAUUUAGACCAACAGAGUUCAAAGAAGCCUCUUUCGUGACUCUAUUGUUGCGUCUUCCCAAUAGAGCAAAACUGCUCUUUGCCUUUUACUUUUUCAAAACCCAAAGAGAUUCAAUACAAGUCUGAAAUUGCAUCUGUUUUCUAGGCUAGAGUUGGCGUGAUUUUCGUUUGAUGCAAGGGCUGUAUGGUAGUUGAUUUUCGCAUAGAGUAGGGGCUGUAUGUCCAAGAAGGGAAAGAGGUGCAGGACUUUUCGUGAGGUGCUUCCAUCCGUUGUUUUCUGUUGGUUUGACGGGAUGAAGUUUCCGUAAAUUGAAGAUUUGCAUGUAUGGUCCAUCGGUGAGUAGUAGGGGUUGAACAUGAAAAUUGCCAUAGGUUGAAUUUGCUCUUAACGCAGGUUGAAGAGAGGCCGUGUGAUCCACUUCCAUCUAACUUAAAAAGCAUAUCGCAAGAGAUGAAAAGUCAAAAUAUGCAUGCGUACUUGAAGACAUACCAAACCAGCUCAUGCGUCCAAGUUGUUUUUUCGUGUGAAGUUGGAAUUAAAUCCAUUGAAAGAAGUCAAAGUGGGGUCCAGUUUGAAGAUAAGCCAUGGUGGUGUGAAUUUGCUCUUGACGCAUGAAGAGAGGCCGUGGGGUCCACUUCCAUCUAACUUGAAGAGCCUAUUGCAAGGUGUGGUGAUGAAAAGUCAAAAUGUGCAUGCUCGCUUGAAGACAAAUCAGCUCAUACGUCCAAGUUUUUUCGUGUCUACCAUCUCUAUUCUGGUUUGCUGUCUCUAGAGGAUGACUUAAGGGAUGAGGUCUACUACAAGUAAUCGAGUUGGGCCUCUGUGGAGUUGUUCGGGCUAUGAAACACGACAUCAACAAUGGCAUCGUCUGUGAGAUCUUUCCUAUAGAAGCAUAUUCGUCGUAUGUUGGCAACAACGUGAUCCCAAACCACACGGAGAGAAGGAGAAUAGUUCAAAAUAAUGGAGGCGAGACUCAUGGAGAUGGGAGACACGAUAAAGAAAUUGAUAAAGGAAAUGGGAAUGCUCCGCCAAGAAAAUGCUGCUCUAAGGUGGACUGACGAGGAAUUGGUAUGGGGAACGGAGCCCAGCGGCAACAAGCAUGCCAAGUCGCGGUGCAUCCUGGAGAUCACCAUGGCCGAAGAAGAGAGGUGCAAGGUGCUCCUCAAGCUUUGAGAGCUUGGGGAUAACUACGCAGAGACGGCCAGAUGAAUGGGUGCGUGGUCCACCAAAGAUCAGCUGCUCACCGGCACCGACAUGCUAUGUAGUGCGGGAGUUAUGGCAAUUCCUUUCUCGCCUAAAUUCAAAGUCCCCCACAUGGAGGUGUAUGAUGGGUCCAAAGACCCACUGGAACACUUGGAGACAUUCAAGGCUCAUAUGACCUUACACGGGUUCUCGAGAGAGGUCGUGUGCCAAGCCUUUCUUCUAACCCUAAAAAGGGUGGCAUGGGGCUGGUUCGGUUCCCUACCACUGGGAUCCAUGAACAGCUUCGGCAAACUAGCUCGUCCCUUCUUGAUGUAGUUCAUGGCGAGCUGGAAAAGGAGGCGUCUAGUCGCCUACCUCCUGACAGUGAAGUAGUGGGAUGACGAGAGCCUGGAUUUAUACCUCUCUCGGUUCAAUCGAGAGCAUAUGACCACGAAUGACCAGGAUGAAAAGAUCACCUUGGCGGCCCUGUUAGGGGGGAUCUGGCCUUGGAACCCGUUCAUGACUGAGAUAGCCCAGAGGACCCCCAUAAUAGUAAGAGAGUUUAUGAACCGAGCCGAUGACUUCAUUAAUGCAGAGGACACCCUCAAAGUCUCAACAGCUCCCCAAAAGAAGGAGUUAGAGCAAGGAGACAAGAAGGUCGCUGGACAGAAGGGCAUGUCGAACUGCGAAAGGGGUACAAAGGGAUAGCUGGAGGCCAAGAGGUGAGGCGUUGAAUUGAACGUGCGGUGGGUAGGGGUGUCAAAUAGUGUUAACGGAUCGUGUUCGUGUCGUGUCGAGAUAUGUGUAUUACAGCUAAUGGGUCAACCCGAACACGACCCGUUAAGGGUUUUGUGUCAAAAUUCUAAACCCUAACACGACCCAUUAAGAUAACGGGUUGACAUGACACGACUCCUUAUGACCCGUUAAUGGAUUUUAAGAAAAGAUUAACACGACACGACACGACCCAUUAUGACCCGUUAAUGGAUUUUAAGAAAAGGUUAACACGACACGACACGUUAUGACCCGUUUAACCCAUAUAUAUUACUAGACACGAACACGACCCAUUAACCCGUUUAACCUGAUUAAUUUUAUAUAAAUAUUAAAAUCACAAUGUCUCUAAAAAAUAUAAAACUAACUACAACUACAAAUUACAAUCCAAAUAAUAAAUAUAUCAAAAUUAAAGUCCCAACAAAAUGACAAACUAAUAGUGCUGCAAUGCAUAAUUAGAACACCUACACAAGUUCAACUAUUCUUGUUACAUUACAUCCAAGGGUACCAAAUAUUCAACAAUCAAAGAGACUAAACAAAUCUUCAUUUCCCCUGCUGUCUCACUCAUCUGACAUUUAAAAAAAAUCAAACAUGAAAAUCAACAAUCAAAGAGACUAAACAAAAGAGCAACAAUCAAAUUUAUUUUCUUCAUCUGUUAUUUUUUAAAGGCAAAAAAAUGUUGGAACUUCCAAAUUUCAACAAUUCAGCAAGCAUAUUGUUGAAAUAUUGAGAUAUAUAAGGAAAAAAUAGGUUAAACUUGCCUUCUGAUGGAUGUUCAAAUCCUGAAUCCACAAUGGCUCGAAGAAGCUCUGGUUUCAACUGGAAGUCUCUAAAUCUCGAAUUGUGUAUACCGAACUGUGUAUCCAAACUAGUUUCAACGAUAUUUUUCUGAAAAUAAAUUAUGUAUGUUGAGGUUCUCACACCAAAUUAGACUGUCCAACAUAAUAAAAUCACAGAUUUGAUUUCUUAAUAAACAUGCACAUGAAACUAACCAAAUAAAACUAACCAAACUCAGCAACAAUACUCAGCAAAAAACUAGAGAUCUUGGCUCAAACUAGAGAAAAAAACUAGAGGAAAAAAAAUCUGGAACUGAAAAAUUUACUUUUGAAAGUUUGAAACUGGAUGUGGCCGUGGGCUUGAGAAGUGGGAGUGGCGCCAACCGCCGUGUGCCACUGGGUGUGGCCGUGGACCGCUGUUGCGUGGGUUGAAGAUGAAGAGGGGGGCGGCGUGAGAAGAGGCCAAGGUUGUGCCGCUGCUGCUGCUGUGCCGUUGAACUAUUGAAGAAUCGAAGAUACUUGGACGACUGGACUCCAGACGGGAUGACCGACUCCGAGUGAGGCACUGUCACACUGAGCUGUGCACCAGCCAAUCCGUGCAACACAAACACCACCGAAGCCUAGCUGCGCACCAGAAUUGCUUCUCCAAUCUCCCCCAGAAUUUUUUUCCCUCAGAAACCUAAGAUCCCCUUUCUAAGUCUGUGGACUGUGCAGUGUGCAGACCGUGCGGCGCUAAGAUUGAAAUUUGAGACUCUAGUGUCUUUGAGGUACCGUGUUAGUGUAUUACGGAUUAGGUUUUUUUUUUUCUUUUGUUUUUAGAUAGAAGGGAUCUAAGGAUAGAAAGUAAAUUUAUAUUUUUAACGGGUCAAAACGGGUUGACCUGUUAGUGACCCGUUAAGCAAUCGUGUCUUAACGGGUCAACCCGUUGUGACCCGAACUCGAUAAGACUAAACUCAAACCCGUUUUUAUCGUGUCGUGUUCAUGUUGGGUUAACGGGUCGUGUCAUAAAUUGCCACCCCUAGCGUUGGGUCCCAUGCACACAUGAGCAUGGUCGUAGAGGCAAAUGCACCUCGAUUCUGCAAAAGGAACCACGACUAGGCCAGGAGAGCUGCAAGUACUAUGCCUACCAUUUGAUGGAUUGGCACAGUACGGAGGACUGCUAUACCCUAAAGCAAAGAGGGAGUGUUGGAGGGCCUACUAGACCAGCAGCGGUAGACGAUGGACCGACAAGAAUGAUGCAAGGGUAGCCAUUCGAGGGCCUGGCGGAGUGAGAGCCUAAGGAGACAAUCGGCUAGGAGAGAGGCUCGAAGGAGCCCACAAUGGCAGAGCCCAAUAAGGGCAAAUAGCCCGGUGGGUGAAAUCCUCAUGAUCAUGGAAGGAGACGUAGGAGGAGGUUCCACCUCGUCGGGUCAGUGGGCCCACGCCCGAAGGGCUUGGUACGAGAAAUUGUUCACAACAGGAAGGGUCACAACUAGCACUAGGAAACAUUUUGAGGGAACCGCGAUAACCUUUAGUGAGAAAGAUGAUGAGAGCAUCCUCCACCCCUAUGACGAUAUGUUGGUGGUUACUGUGCAGAUCGCUAACUUCACCACCUAAAGGGUCCUAAUUGACAAUGGCAGUUCAGCAAACAUUCUAUUAUGGGAGGCUUUUGUCAGGAUAGGGAUCAACUCGGACCAACUGUGCUUGGCCUCGAUGUUGCUCAAGGGUUUCCCAGGCGACAUCGUGCAACCAGUCCUGGCCUUGGCAAGCCGGUUGCUCCUCCUUUGACUGUUGCUAUAGUCGUUGAGCCUGUGGUGGUUGCUAAUUCAAAGGUGCUCAUUGUGCUUGCGGGGUCGUAGGACUUGUCCCGAAGGGUUAACUAGCUCCAAAUGCACUUUUUGGGGACCCUUCUGGAUAAGAUUCCUAUCAGUAGUCCAUGGUUGGGCUGCCUCCUGAGUCUAAUGUGAAGAUGCCUACUCCUUUGGCCUCCAUCACUCGUUCUUCGGCUAGGGAACAAGUCUUCGAUGGUGCCUUUGGCGUUCCACGGAGGAGUCAGGUUCUUUUGAUGGGAGUACACCUUUGUGAGGCCCUCCCUGUGGCGAAACUCUCAUAGGUGGUAUCCUAGUUACUAUUGUUGCUAUUCAUCUCCCAGCAAUGUCGACUGUUGGGUCAGUUAAGGAGACUCCUUGUAGGGAAGCCGAGUCCCCCAUAUCUAACCUGCUGACUGGUGGGGGGGUUGUUGCUAUUGUCAGGUCUAAGUAGGGUGGCAUGCAUGCUUCAGGUGAGGAGAGGAAUCAGUCCCCUUCUUAGGAGGAUCCAACGUCCGUAACUAGGGGUCCUCCCAAUCCCUCAGUCGAUGGACCGGACUAGGAGGUCUUGGGCGAUGUUAGAAGUGUCGAUGGUGGACCAGUGAUCACCUUCCAGGGGCAGUUAGAAGGAGCUUAUCUCUGCUUUUUCUCCAAGGCUUCCUUCACUUUGUCUUAACUUUUUUCCUGUUUUGUUUGUCUCUCUGUCUUUUAUUUUGACUCUUCCGUCUCUUGUUAUGGUGGGCUGUAUGGAGCUGACUUGUUGGCCAACUUCAUCGUGAGUGGCCAGGAGCCAGUCAAGGUGCAGAAUUGGGAGCUUCACUCCAUAGUAAAGACUACUACACGAGCGGGGAGAGGAAUGAGAGAAAGUGCCUGGAGGCAGAGUUGGCGACAGCCAAGGGGUGGGCCAUCUCAUCCCAAGAGUCGUUGAACCAGCUUUGGGUGGAGAAUGAGGAACUGAGGGGGGUCAUCUGGACUCUAAUGCCAAAGGAUUCAAGUUAUUGGAGGGGGAGUGCUCACCCUUGUUGGCCGUCUUGAAGGACCGAGAAGACUCGUUAUCGAUGGCUUAGGCUAAGGUGGAGGAGUUGAAAGGGUUGGGGGUGGCUCAGCUAUGGAUUGCCGGCCAGGAUGUAGUUAUUAAGGACUUGCAGAGCGACUUGGCUCAAGUGCAAGAAGUUGCUACCCGCCUGGGCGAUCAAUUGGGGAAAGCCCUUUACGUCCGCGACGAAGCUUGGGCGUACGAGUAUAUCGAAGGCCUUAAGAAAAUGUGGGAUCACGUUAUUUCUAAUCCUUAAACGAGUUCUCAGGCACUGAAGGCGAACUUGAGGGUCAUCAAUCUCAAAGAACUCAAUCUCGAUCCUGCUACCCUUAAUUAUGGUGGCGAGAUUGGCCAAGCAAUGAUCUCGAACGCCUUUCCGCUCGAAGAUGAAGCCCCUGCAGCUCGCUCUCAUGAGUGCAUUAGGGAAGAGGGGGGAAAUUGAGGGAACUGAUCCUAGAGGUGCUAAGGUCGACCCCACCGGGCGCUCAGUGAACCUAGAUGCUCUAGAGGUGGGACCUGUUGAGUCCAAGGAGGAUCUUGACCCCUCCUUUGCCUGAUUUUGUAUCUCCUGCUUGUAUCGACAUGAUGUAAAUUUCUUUAUUUCAGUCUUUUCCUUGUAUUGACCACGACUAAUACACUAGUAUACUUGCAUAUGCAUUUUUGUUUCUCAUCAUAUUGCCCCGUGUUUUGCUUUGUGGUCGUUUCCUUAUUCUUCCCUUGCCUUUUCUUUUUCCUGCCAAUUGGUUUGUCUAGACUUUCUGCUCCAUUGUCCACUAUGGUUUGAGAUGCCUCAUUCUGAGAAAAAGGAGGGAGGGCUUGCACUUUGCCCUCUUGCCACGUUUUAGUUACCAGGCUUCUUCUUUGGGCUUGUUUGGCAGUUGAUAUGAUGCAUGUAGGUUCUUGCGUGCUUCAGGUAGUUAGAUAUUAAUACUCACAUGUUACGCCCUUUUCACAUUAAUGGUGCUAGAUGAUAUUUGAGGUGUGCACUACGAGAUUCGUGUAACACCUGCUACGACAUUCACGUCGGAUUUGAUGGGGGCUGUGGGAUACGCACAAUUCCAACCUCAGGGAAUGAACCAUCGCGAAUGCCUAUAUAAGUCCUCACUUCUUCGAUGGUAUUCAUUGUAUCUCCCUUCGUGCCCUUCAAGCAACUAGAGCCUUUUUACCUUUUCUUACGUGGGUUCUGUUCUAGGUGACCCUGGGUCUAAUGAGUCUUCUGGCUCUGGACGAGACUUCCUGGAUGAAGGCUCACCACAGGUUCACAUUGAAGCAAAUGUUCAGCAACUCUUCACGGUGCCAAGAGGAAGUUUUGUUGAAAGUUUUGCUAUUCCCUGUCACUUGGAGUUGCGUUUCAAAGGUGGUAUGGCAUGGGCAUCAUGGUUAUAUCAUUCGACGGUCUUUUCUAUCUCAAGACUCGUCGUGCAAUCCACGUUCCAUUACAACAUCGCAACCCAUUCGACUGAACAAGUUGGGCUGGUGCUUCCCUCUCAGGCUUGGUUGGUGCCAGGCGCUUCUCCCACAAUGGAACCAUUCAGGUUUGGGCAUAUGCCCACUAGUCAAGGAGGAGGAAAAUAUGCCGAGAAGGAGUGCCCCUUCUAGGAUUGACUCGACGCCUGCUCAUUGUUAACAUCCUUGAUAGUGAUGAGGAUCAUACUCCAGGAGUCCCUAUCUGCCACUUCCACGAGAAAAUGAUUUCUUCUGACGGUGGUCUUCCUGGUGAGUGCCCUGAGGAUGAAGGGUCUCGAGGUUUUACGAAACGUGAUGGCCCUUGAGUGUCUAUCUUUUGUUCACUUUUUGGAUUGGGCAAUGGUUGUGCGCCUCUGGGCGACCCCACCGACUCUAGGCUUAUCGGUAGAGUACUUUCCUUUUUCAGAUGUACGUGUUUGUUUUCUCUUCUUGUUUGUGGAGACGUUGUAAUCUUCCUCUUUAUAAAGAUUUCAAUCUUUGUAAAGACUUCGUUCAUUAAUGAAUAAGCAUUCUCUAUCAUUUUGCUUGUGUUCUUUUACUUUGUUGUCUUUCUUUUAUCAACACUUGUUUACUAUUUGCGCGUAUCAUUCGCUUGUUCUAAGGAGAGGUCGAGUGUUGGGCCAAAGAUGGUGCUGCCAAUGCCAUGGGCUUGACCUCCCAUUUUACCUCACGGUUAGGUGACUUUCUGCGUUGUAGAGGGAGGUAGGAAUGCAUUAAUUCACCUAGCCUUGUCGGUUUCCCUGCCAAUCAAGGGGGGCCGAGGGGCACGUAAAGGCUGGGAUCACUGUAAUCCUUUGGAAGAAGUCAAGCAACAUGUUAAGACUUGAUUCGCCUCAUUGACCUUUGCACUUGGCGAGAGAGGGUCGAGCGACAUGUAAAGGUAGGGCUCACCCUGACACUUUAGUUAGCUGAGGUCGAGUAGCACAUAAGGCUCAACUGGACUCAUUGAUCAUUGCACUUGGUGAGAGGGGGCCAAGCGGCAUGUAAAGGCCGAACUCACCCUAAGACUUUGGCAUAAGUCGAGCAGCACGUUAAGGCUAAACUCACUUCGUUAACCCUCGCACUUAUUGAGAGCUGGCUGAGCGGCAUGUAAUGGUCAAGCUCGCCUAGAUACUUUGGCUAAGGUCAAGAUGCACUGUAAGACUAAACUUGCCUCGUUGACCAUCGUGUUUGGUGAUAAGGGGUCGAGCGACAUGUAAAGGUCAAUCUCGCCCUGAUAUUUUUUAGGAGGUCAAGCAACACAUUAAAGUUGAACUCACCCGAUUGACCCUCAUGUUUGACAAAAGCGAGUUAAGUGGCAUGUAAAGGUUGGCCUUACCCUAAUACUUUGGUGGAGGUUGAGCAACACGUUAAGGCUGAACUCGCCUCGUUAACACUCGCAUUUGGCGAGAAAGGGUUAAGCAGCAUGUAAAGGCCAAGCUCACCUAGAUACUUUGGCACAGAUCGGGCAGCAUGUUAAGGCUAAACUCACCUUGUUCACCAUCGCGUUUGGUGAGAAAGGGCCAAGCGGCAUGUAAAGGUUGGGCUCGCCAUAAGACUUUGGCAUAGGUCGAGCUUAGUGAGAGGAGUUGAGAGGCAUGUAGAGGCUUGGCUCGCCCAGAUACUUUGGUUAAAGUUAAACUCGUCUCAUUGACCCUCACGUUUGGCGAGAUGAGCCGUAAAGGUUGAGCAGCAUGUUAAUGUUCAAAUUGCCUUGUUGACCCUUGCUUUUGGUGAGAGGGCGCCGAGCAGUAUGUAAAGGUCGGGCUCGCCCUAACACUUUGGCUAAGGUCAAGCAGCACAUUAAGGUUGAACUCGCCUCAUUAACCCUCUUGCUUGGCGAGAUGGGGUUGAGCAGCAUGCAAAAGCCAGCCUCGCCCUGAUACUUUAGCGGAGGUCAAGCUGCACGUUAAGGCUAAAAUCACAUUGUUGACCCUUCUUUUGGCAAUAAGGGCUCGAGUAGCAUGUAAAGGCCGGGCUCACCUAGAUACUUUGGCGGAGGUCAAGCAACAUGUUAAGGCUAAACUAGCCUUGUUGACCUUUGCAUUUGGUAAGAAAGGGCUGAACGGUAUGUAAAGACUAGGCUCACCCUAAGACUUUGGCGGAGGUCGAGCAACACAUUAAGGCUGAACUUGCCUCGUUGACCCUCACGUUUGGAGAGAAUAGGUGAAGCGGCAUGUAAAGGCCAGGCUCACCUAAAUACUUUGGCAGAGGUCAAGCAGCAUGUUAAGGCUGAACUCGCCUCGUUAACCCUUGCGCUUGGGGAGAGGGGGCCAAGCGGCAUGUAAAGACUGGGCUCACCUAGAUACUUUGGUGGAGGUCGAGUAGGACAUUAAGGCUGAACUCGCCUCAUUGACUGGGUGUUUGGUAAGAGGGGGUUGAGUGGCAUGUAAAGGCCAAGUUCGCUCAGAUACUUUGGCAGACGUUUGAGUACGCUGCAGAAGUCAACCCGAUUAGUGUAAGCAAUCAUUUGAGAUUUGCAAACCUGAGCUGUUUUGUUGGAGAGUGGUGACAACCACAGGCGUUGCUUUGGAGGAGACAAUAUUUCCAAAGUUACAUUAGGUAGUCAUGGGACUGACUCGUACUCCGUUGAGGGAGGGGUAGGAAUACCUUAAGCAAUACUCUCCCUUUUACUCCCCUGGGGAGAUAAUCUGUUGACGGCUGGAGAGUCGAUCUACACUUCAUCGCUGUGGGGAUAGAGUAAGUUGUUCGGGCAACUGAGAGGUUGGAUCGGCUUUCCUUUGUGGGGUGGUCAAACCGAGUUAGGACUGAGUCCGCCUAUCGUCCGUCAAGUGAAGGUAGUCUAUUCGGGCGGUUUGCGACUGGACCCACUCUAGACUAUUGGCACCACGGGGAAGGUAGGUAAGGGUCAAGUUGGCACUAAUCUCACUCUUCGUCAUGGUAGAGGUUGAGGUAAGUGUUCAACUGGCCUAAGGGCCUGAAACAUUCUCCCAUGUAGAAGGGUCAAGAUAGCCUUUGGCUUAUUUCACCCUUCAGAGUCCCACUGGGAGGUAAGGAUUGAGCAGUUUGAGACUGGACUCACUUCCUCCUAUUAAUGCACAUGAGGAAUGUACGUUGUCAAGUAGCUAAGGAUUGGCCCACACUUCACUGCGGGAGGGAUCAAAGAGCUUUAGCCAUUACACCUAUCCCUUUGGCACCCCUGCGGGGAUGGUAAACAUUAGACAACUGAGUAGUUGGUCCACAUUUCGUCAUGACGGGGAUAGGGUAAUUCGUUUGGGCAGCCGAGAGAUCGAGCCCAUUCUCCUUCGUGGGGAAUGAGUCGUCAGGGGGGCUGGACCCACCUAUUGACCCUUGUAAGGAGGUAGUCUGUUCAAGCAGUUUGUGAUUGUACCAUCUCCCAUUCGUUGACAUAGUAGAAAAGGUAAGUGAGGGAUAGGCUGGCGCUAAUCCCACUUUUCGUUGUGGCAGAGGUUCGAGUAAGUGUUCUGUUGGCUUAACCCGUUCUCCCUUGCUGGAGGGUCAAGAUGGUCAUUGGCUCAUUUCACCCUUUGGAGUCCUGCGGAGAGGUAAGACCUGGGGAGUUUAAGACUGGACUCGCUCCCACCUAUUUAUAUACAUGAGGAAGGUAAGUUGUUAGGCAGCUGAGGGCAAAUUCGCACUCCUCCGCUAAGAGGGUAGAGCAGCACUUAGGCAUGACCUACCUCCUUUGUAUCCCAUGGGGAGGAAGGUUGUCAUUUGUAGCUUCCGUUGGUGGAGACAUAUGUUGAUGAAGGUUAACACUAGUGGAGACAUUGAUCUUACACAUUAAAUUCCUAAAAAAACUCAUGUCUUUUAUUAACAAAGUUUAUACAACAGAAAAUGAAAUUUACACGUUUGGAGGGCCUCUAGGGGACUAUUUUCCUCCCUGCACUUUUGUUUUUUCCUCCAGCCAUGGGAGGUUGAGUUACUGACAAAACCUAGUCGAGGCUUCAUGUAAGGAGCAUACCCAUGCUAAUUGUUGGUCGUAACGGGUCGGGGGUACACCACGGGCAGCCCGCUAUCCCUCAGUUUCAACUCUUGCAUGUAGCACUCUCACGCUCGGACUUGUUCUCCCCAGAUUUCUCCUACCCUUUGAGCGGUUGGGAACUUCAUCUUCAGGUGGCAGAUGGAGAUGAUUGCCUUGAGGUUGUUGAGGGUCGGUCGGCCAAUGAUGGAAUUGUAAGAGGAGGGGGCCUUCACGACUAGGAAGUUGACCAUGAUGGGGGUCUUGUAGGGAGCGCUACCCGUUAGGACAAAAAGAGUGAUUGUCCCGGCUAGCUAAACUGUCUCCCGAGAGAAGCCAUUGAGCGACAUCAGAGCCGGUCAGAGUCGAAUAGUGUCUAUUCCCUUGUGGGUAAACGCUUUCCAGAACAGGAUGUCAGCCGAGCUACCAUUGUUGAUAAGGAUCCUGUUUGUGGUGAAGUUGGUGACUAGCAUGGUCACCACUAAAGCGUUGUCAUGCGGGUAAAGGACUCCCUCCUCAUCAUCUUUCCCAAAGGAGAUUACGGGUGUAGGUUCACUCCUCCUGUACUUGGUUGGGCGGUACGUUGCCUAGUACACUUCUUAGUAUCGGGCCUCCCUAACGUGCGCCUUUCUCCAAAUGUGGUCGCUCCUCCACUAGUGAAUCCCCUAACUAUCGUUCUAAUUUCCCCAGCAAGGUUCUUUCUUGGCACAACAACAAGGAGGACCACACGGAUGUCUUAGCUUGGCUUCCCUUCGUCGUAGGCUCUCCGCUCUUCUUUGCCUAUAGCCCUUAUCGAGGCGUCUGUCCCAUGACUACCUCCUCCACACUUGUUCUUCCUGUCAGGCAGGGGGAUAUCUCGGUGCUACUCGAUCUGCCCGCUUCUUUCCUCCCCAUGUGGAAUGGCAGUCUGUUAGAGACCUCAGUCUAGUCCCUAAAUAUUAAGAUCUUCUAGCUCCGCUUCUCUUUAAGAUGACCAAAGUGUCUUGUCUUCUUAUUUGUCUUUACUUGAGUAUGGAUCUUAAGCAAUGGUGUUUGGUGAAUAAUAAUGGAUUGGAUGGUGAUUGUAGAUUGAGAAAUCUAUGGAAUGAAUAUAAGCAAUGGUGUAAUGUGGACGGAUUGAAUAGUCUCUCUUGGUGUAGGCGCCACUUGGGAAAACUUAGGGUUUGGAGAUUAUGGUUGGCGCCACUUAGGGUACUUUGGGGUUUGUGGAAGUGAGGAUAGGGUUUAUGAUGGAUGAGAUGAGAUCCAAAAGUGUAGUACCACUUUAGGGUUUAUGGGGGGUAUGGCUAGGGUAGGUCUUUUAAGGUUUAUAAGAAUUCCUAAGAUUUUGGAAUCACUUUAGGGUUUAUGGGGGGUACGGCUAGGGCAAGUCUUUUAAGGUUUGGAAGAAUUCCUAAGAUUUUGGAAUUAGGGGAAGCUAGGGCUAGGGUUUCCUAAAAUAUAGAAAAUCCUUAUAGGAUCUAGGGAAUUCUGUCAAGGCAAUGGAGGCACUAGAUCUAGGCUAGAUUUAGGAUUUUAUGGCUUUAUGAAGUAGAUCUAUGAUGGAAUAUGGAAAGAUGGAGGCUAAAAUAGUGUUUGGUGGGUAGGAAAAUAUAUGGAAAGUGAAUGGUAAUGGACAACACGGCUAGAUCUUCUUGGAAUAGUAGAUCUAGUGUGUUGUAUGGAUGAAUGAAUCAAUGGAUGAAUAAUGGAAUCAAUUUGGCGUGAGGAAUGGUGGAUUUGCAAGAUAAUGAAAUCAAAAAGAAAAUAACAAAACAAGUAAAAGUUCAAUAAUGGAAUUGUGAAAAGAAACUUGUCAUAAGAUAGAUAAAUAAAUCAUCACUCAUUCAUGAAUUGCACAGUGAAGAUCCUCUAUUUGGGAUUCACAAAUUGAGCCCAAGUACCAAGUACUGAAAAGAGAUAUCCUAGACAAUAGUUUGUCCACAAAGAAAAUAUGCUAAAAGAUGCAAAAUAAAAUACUAAAGGUCCUACUUAUAGAUUUACAAAGUGAAAAUCCUAGUAGGUCCCAUAAAUAAUAAAAGAUUUAAAAUAAAUGAAAUAAUAAUAAAAUAAUAAGUAAUAAUGCUAGGGUUAGCCAUGGGAACCAGAGUGGCCCAAGGCUAGUCUUGGUGCAUGGCUUGGACUUGGAUGGGCCAUGGGCAUUGCUGCUGUGGUGCUUGGUUGUCGUGCACAUGCAUGGCUAAUGGGUUGUGUGCAUGGACAGGCUUGGCCUGCGCACCGGGCAAGCUGGUGGCCUGCCCACGCUGUGCUGUGCUUUUUGCUGCACGUUGGCCUAGUCCCUAACCUUACUAGUGUGCUGGCUAGCUGCGACAAGGGCAUGUCAUGGCAUGGGCCUUGGCAUACCUGUGGCUCGUUAGUGGGACUGUUGAGGCAUGUCAAAGGUUGUGUCGAGACUUGAUCCAUGGCAACUUUCCUAGGGGUUCUAACACAGUCUUCCGUAUUGUGGGUGGUCGACUAGUGGUAGGUGCAAUAGCAUCGUGUUGUUCGUCCUCUUGGGAGGGCUGGCACUUAUCCUUUUAGAUGGCAAACGCCGACCGGUCUAGCCGAUAUCCUGCACUCUUUGAAGAGGGCUCUGCCAAUAUCCUACACUUUUCGAGGAGGGCUCCACCUUCCUUCUGUCAAACGGCCCUUUUGCUAGUGGACCCCUAGUCGGGGCUUUCACUUUCUUGUCCACCCACAAUGUAGCGGGGGUCCUCUUGGCCAGCUCUGCCAUGAACUGGGACCGGGGCCACACUCCCCCUAAGAGUGCCGCCAGGGUGAUCUUUUCGUCCUAAUCUUUCAUUGUCAUGCACUCCUUGUUGAACCUAGUCAUAUAUGCUUUUAAGUUCUUGGCCUCACCUUGCUUGAUGGUGAGAAGGAAUGUCGCAGGACACCUUCUUCUCUUACUUGCCAUAAACAGCGUGAGAAAUAGGCGGGCCAGUUCUGAAAAAAUGUCUAUAGAACCGGGUGUCAGGAAACCAAACCACACCCUCGCCGGUCUCUUCAAAGUUAGCAUGAAGUCUCUAUAGGCCACCUCCCUGGGGAAACCAUGCAAAUUGCAAGGUCAUGUGUGCCUUAAAGGUUUUGAUGUGCUCGACCGAGUCUUGGGUCCCAUCAUACAUUUCCAUAGUGGGGGGGACUUGCCAUCACUUUUGCACUGUAUGACAAGCCCAAGCUGACAAGCAAUUAGUCUACCGAAGUUGAGUUUCUAUCCUUUUUAGGCCAAGAGAUGGACGCUGGAGAAAAGAAGAGAGCUUUGGUUUUUCUCAAAACACACGCAUGCGGAACCCAUCUCAGUUUGGACAGACGCAAGGGAGAAAGUUUUCUUUUUCCUUAUUGAAAGUUUUCUCAAGCCGUUUUUGGGUUUUGAUGGAAAGUUUUGGAUAUUGGCAAGUGAGGUAGCAUUUUGGGUCUGGACGAACGUGAGACACACAUCACAUUUUAUAUAUAUAUAUAUAUAUGAACGGAACGGCAUGCAA
Long non-coding RNA from Carya illinoinensis, 15712 nucleotides. RefSeq lists it as uncharacterized. NCBI's taxonomy places the organism in Eukaryota, Viridiplantae, Streptophyta, Magnoliopsida, Fagales, Juglandaceae. The transcript has 6 exons. The record is from RefSeq and is a predicted model, not a curated record.